RNAcentral lists this unclassified non-coding RNA (329 nucleotides) under soil metagenome. Its description in RNAcentral is "partial contains 5.8S ribosomal RNA, internal transcribed spacer 2, and large subunit ribosomal RNA". The stretch from base 1 to 120 matches the Rfam family "5.8S ribosomal RNA", at positions 35 to 154 of the family's 154-position model. The record is from RNAcentral.
GAUGAAGAACGUAGUGAAAUGCGAUAAGUAAUGCGAAUUGCAGAAUUCAGUGAGUCAUCGAAUCUUUGAACGCACAUUGCGCCCCUUGGUAUUCCGAGGGGCAUGCCUGUUCGAGCGUCAUUAUAACCCCUCAAGCUCAGCUUGGUGUUGGGGCCUGCUGCACUGGCAGCCCUUAAAAUCAGUGGCGGCGCCAUCUGGCUCUAAGCGUAGUAAUUCUUCUCGCUAUGGAGUCCUGGUGGAUGCUUGCCAUCAACCCCCAAUUUUUCUAUGGUUGACCUCGGAUCAGGUAGGGAUACCCGCUGAACUUAAGCAUAUCAAUAAGCGGAGGA